AUCAAUCUAAAACAGAAACUUUAAAUUCUACCCAAUAUUGUUUAUCAACAAUAUAAUAUUUUUAGAUUUUAAUUGGACUUCAUUCUAAUUUUAAACUCAAAAUGUGUGUGUUCUUGCAGGAGUGCGUGUGUGUGUGUUCUUGCAGGAGUGCGUGUGUGUGCGUGUGUUUUUGUGUGGGGUAUGAGUGCAUUUACUGUAUUAAUUUUAAGAGUAAUUAUGUGUUAAACGUGUGUGUACUCAUCAUGUGUGUGCAUGCUUGUAGGGGUGUGUGUGUGUGGUGUGUGUGUCUGUCUGUCAGUCAAGCUGCAUUCAGUGACUCGGGAUAUUAUUUUACUCGUACAAAGGCCUUGCUUUGUCCUUGUGCGUGGACAUAAAUCACCUUAAAAAAUAUGCUCCGCCAAAUGGCAUAAAAAUCAAUUUUUAAAAACGCCACAUGCUUUCAGAACACAGCAGAACAGAACCUAACCUGGGGAACCAACAAUGUCUGGAAAAUCGAUCAUUUGUGAACAGGCAUGUAAGUGUCUGGGAUAAUUUCUGCAUAUUGACAGUUGGGUCAAAAAUCUUCAGGGUUGCUCUAAUUGUUGGGAAGAAUAAUCUGUGCCUUAUACUCUUCUCUUUUCCAUCAGUCCGUCUCUUUCUUCGCCACUAAUCAUAGAGCUUCAGUUGGAGCUGGUGCUUUGUGGGGAGGAGCCUGCAACAACAGAGAUCUGGGCACACAGAGCAGCUUUAAUUAGAUGGGGCCUCGUGCCAUGUGCCAUCACGGCAUGUGUGAAAAUGAAUGUGUGCCUGUAUGUUGUGCAGCUUUGUCUUUAUGUGGGGAUGCUUUUUUGUAUCUAUGUCUGUUUAGCUUUUCCUUUCUUUUUUUACAUAAAAAUUAUUAUUAUUUGCACACUGAAUAGAAAGCAACUGCACAUUUCUUCAAUCUGGAGAAGACAUUUUUGCUAUGCUUGUGCCCAUGGACCUUAAACCUUAAUGUCCUCCCUGAGGCACCACCCUCGAGCGUCGGCCAACUGCUUUGGCAUCAGAUAAUGUAAAUGAAGGCAAACCAGUUUCUUUUGUAGUCAAACAGCCAGGAUCUUCUUUUAAUUUAAAAAUGUAUUUCGGUCAUUGCGGGGGGUGCUGUUUGAAGCCAUCACACUCCCAUAGAGCCACUCAGUGGGCAUUGCAGAUUGACCGUAGGGAUGGGCGCCAGACCGGAGAAAGGAAGACUGGAGCCAUUGCCAGUAUGAACUGGUUUGACAACUGGUGCAAUUGUGUUUUAAUUGGUGCAUCUUGCUGAUUGUUUGACAUGAAGGGUUUUUGAUAUACCCCAAACCAAUCAAUGGGUUUAGUGGACAAAGGGAGGUUUCCAAUUGGUUGAGAGGAUUUUAGGCGGGAUACAGGCAACCUGGUGACAUCAUAAAAUGAGAGGUCAGCACAUUUAAAGGAUGCUGAGAGCUGAAGGAUAAUUAGAAGAGCUCAAGCCAGAAGACUAACAUUUUUGUUCCUUGGAGUUAACAGUUGUUUGAUUUGUAUCACUUAGAAUAUGUUACGUGGCAUAGAGUUUUACUCAGUUUGUUAUUGGUGAAAUAAUACAAUUUUAAAAACUAUACAUAUAUGUUUGUUAACAUUUUUCCUAUCUGUCUUUAGGUGAGAUAUUGGCCCAUGUUUCUUGGCCUGUGGUUUAAGAGGAUGGGUAGCCUUAGGGGUUGAUUGUUAUCUUUGGUUAUCUAGCUGUAUGAGUGAUGUACAUUCUUCAUAAAGCUAGAUAACCGAAAGUAACAAGAAUCCCAUUACACUCCUGGAAAGGCAUCAAGACCCAAAGUGACUCCUUUCAUCAAAAAUUUUAAAAUACAUAAGAAGAAGUUUAACUUGAGAAAAAAUGGACUGCAUUUUAAAGGGGAAUGGAUCGUUCAUCAAAUAAAGGGUACCUUGCCACAUAGAGAAAAGAUGGCAAAAGAAGACUGAAAACAGAAGAGGAGGAGGGGUUGCUGUUGAUUGUGCCCUCCCUCUCUCAUCGCCCUCUUCUGCAUCGCCUCUUCCCACCUCCUCCUCUUCUCUUUCUCCUCCACUCGAUCCUCAGCAGACUGCCCCUUUUUCCUGUACAGCGAAAUGCAGCCCACGCCACCAUCUUAGAGCAACGCUGGCAUAAAAUGGAAGUGGAAAGACCAGUCACUGCAGAUAAACGUUGGUGGUCACGGGGUUCCAGAAUGGACAGAACACACAAUGGAGAGACGGCAGGACUCGUCUUUCACGGCUUGCUGCUAUUCAGCUGCUGUAAACAAGGAAGCUGCUGUCUGUGUGCAACUUGAUGGAUCUUGUUUCCAUGUCUGUGGAACACUUUGACCCACCUGGACGUUUUGUGAAGACCUUUUGGUGCUUUAGCUCCAAAAUCAUCAUUUUGAACUGUGACUGUGGAAGCCUUUGGACUAAGAAAGAUGAUGCAUAGCACUAUAAUGCUGCAGAUUUUUUUUAUUCUACGACUGAUUUUAUUUAUUUAUUUUUUGUAUGUUGUAUAUGUCUGUGCAUAAUAUUAUACAGGCAGGCAGUGCAUUUUAGGCUCUCCCUUAUCUAGGUUGCUUUCAAUUUGAGUUUUAGCCCUCGCUGAUGUUCAGUUUGAUGUUUUGUUUUAGUUGCUAGGACUCAAAAGACGCGUGAAUGUGAGACCCACGACAGCAGUGAAUAAUACUGCACUGCGAUUGGACAGCUCCGUGUGUCGGCUGACACAAUGGCGAAGGAGAGAGCUGUCGUCUUUAUACUCUAUGCAACUGUUCUGUCUGUUUUUUUUGGUUUUGUUUUGGGCAGAGCCUCGUUUAUCUACACUUUGGAUUUUUCUUUAUGGGCUAACAUUUAAUGGACAUUCCUUCAUACGUUAUCAAGAUAAAUUGUGCUUUAUCUAGAAGUGUAUGUUCCUAAUUUUGAAAUGUAAAAACUGGAAUUAGAGGAGGUGUGUGUCAUAUUUGAUUGCUAAUUAUAUUUUGAAGCCUGGAAAAAAAAACUUUGUGAAUAAAUGUGGAAUCAAAUAUAUAAUAUUCCUGAUGGCAGUAGUGUGUUUGAUCAGGAGGAAGUGAAACAUUGCUGCUGUGUAUGUUUCCUCUGAGGCACAUUAGUUUGCCUCAUAACAGUUACCUGCGCUGCUGUAAUGAUACAUCUUUGGGUAAGACAUGACAAAUACAUUGGCUUCAAACACUGCCUUAAUUUCCUGUUCACACACACAUGCACACACACAGAUCCCAGUGCAAUAACACAAGUACCAUUGCAGCUUAAUUCAUUUUAUAUCAAUUUUCGGGAAGUGGAUUAUUUUUUUUAUUAUGAUUGAUAAUCUAUGCAAAUCUUUUAAAGUAUUACUUUAAACAAUCUAUGCACUGCUCUUCUGCUCUUGCAUUUGAUUCAGGGGAGACUGUCUUGGCCUAAUUUAGAAAAUGUAUUCUUUUGAUAAUCAUGCACAUCCCAGUGCUCGAGACAAUUACUUAUCUGCCUGGAUAAGCUUGAAAUUAUGUUUUUAAUCUUUUGCAAAAAAAGUCUCUCUUCUGAUAUCAGUUGAGAGGCAUAAAAACCAUGAUUUCUGGUGUGAAAUAAUUAAAUCAGUACCACUUAAUAUCCUUGCUUUUUUUUUUAAAACAUGCAAAUGUAAUUUAUCUGUUUAGCUUUGCCUGCUUAUUAGCUUCUUUUUUUUUAGAAGAUGUAUGUUUGUUUUAUGCAACUUGUGUAUAAGUGCUCACCACAUGUGCCUUUGUAUGCAAAUCUGUAUUAGAAUAGUAAUAAAGGUUUACAUUGAAAACAAUGAAAAAAUG
Molecule: long non-coding RNA, 3773 nt
Organism: Poecilia reticulata (guppy)
Lineage: Eukaryota; Metazoa; Chordata; Actinopteri; Cyprinodontiformes; Poeciliidae
Source: RefSeq, a predicted model, not a curated record